AGGACGAACGCUGGCGGCGUGCUUAACACAUGCAAGUCGAACGGAAAGGCCCUUCGGGGUACUCGAGUGGCGAACGGGUGAGUAACACGUGGGUGAUCUGCCCUGCACUUUGGGAUAAGCCUGGGAAACUGGGUCUAAUACCGAAUAUGACUAUGCGCUUCCUGGUGUGUAGUGGAAAGCUUUUGCGGUGUGGGAUGGGCCCGCGGCCUAUCAGCUUGUUGGUGGGGUAAUGGCCUACCAAGGCGACGACGGGUAGCCGGCCUGAGAGGGUGACCGGCCACACUGGGACUGAGAUACGGCCCAGACUCCUACGGGAGGCAGCAGUGGGGAAUAUUGCACAAUGGGCGCAAGCCUGAUGCAGCGACGCCGCGUGAGGGAUGACGGCCUUCGGGUUGUAAACCUCUUUCAAUAGGGACGAAGCGCAAGUGACGGUACCUAUAGAAGAAGGACCGGCCAACUACGUGCCAGCAGCCGC
RNAcentral lists this ribosomal RNA (475 nucleotides) under uncultured bacterium. RNAcentral describes it as "SSU rRNA". It matches the Rfam family "Bacterial small subunit ribosomal RNA", at positions 26 to 518 of the family's 1533-position model. The record is from RNAcentral.